RNAcentral lists this ribosomal RNA (253 nucleotides) under uncultured bacterium. RNAcentral describes it as "partial 16S ribosomal RNA". It matches the Rfam family "Bacterial small subunit ribosomal RNA", at positions 524 to 776 of the family's 1533-position model. The record is from RNAcentral.
UACGUAGGCAGCAAGCGUUGUUCGGAGUUACUGGGCGUAAAGGGUGUGUAGGCGGUUCUUUAAGUUUGGUGUGAAAUCUCCCGGCUCAACUGGGAGGGUGCGCCGAAUACUGAGAGGCUAGAGUGCGGGAGAGGAAAGUGGAAUUCCUGGUGUAGCGGUGAAAUGCGUAGAUAUCAGGAGGAACACCGGUGGUGUAAACGGCUUUCUGGACCGUAACUGACGCUGAGGCACGAAAGCGUGGGUAGCAAACAGG